AGGGAAUUUUCGGCAAUGGGGGAAACCCUGACCGAGCAACGCCGCGUGAGGGAUGAAGGUUUUCGGAUCGUAAACCUCUGUCUUUGAGGACGAUAAUGACGGUACUCAAGGAGGAAGCCCCGGCUAACUACGUGCCAGCAGCCGCGGUAAUACGUAGGGGGCGAGCGUUGUCCGGAAUUACUGGGCGUAAAGGGCGUGUAGGCGGCCUGGUAAGUCAGGCGUGAAAACCCCGGGCUUAACCUGGGGAUUGCGUUUGAAACUGGCGGGCUUGAGGGCAGGAGAGGAAAGUGGAAUUCCCGGUGUAGCGGUGAUAUGCGUAGAUACCGGGAGGAACACCAGUGGCGAAGGCGGCUUUCUGGACUGCACCUGACGCUGAGGCGCGAAAGCCAGGGGAGCGAAC
This 400-nucleotide ribosomal RNA is filed under the name uncultured bacterium. Its description in RNAcentral is "bacterial SSU rRNA". It matches the Rfam family "Bacterial small subunit ribosomal RNA", at positions 356 to 773 of the family's 1533-position model. The record is from RNAcentral.